CUGGGGAGCAGCGGCGCCGCAGCGGCGGCGGUUCCGUGCCCGGGGAGGCACCGGGUGGGUCCUGCAGCAUUCCCCGGGCUGGGACCCUGCAGCAUUCCCGGCUGGGACCCUGCCUGCACCGGGACCUGGGGCCGGAGCUGUGCCUGCACCUGGACUCGGCUGCCAGGGCUGGCUUUGCAAACUGCAGCUGCUGAGAAUGGGAAGGCAGCUAGAGCAGCAUCACUCCAGCUGUGGAACUGGGAUGCUGCAGCAGAAACCUGCAGGAGGAGGACAAACAAACACGCUGGGCUCCUGAAGCGCCGUGUUUUGAUGGACUUACUGUUCCACUUGUGAUGCAAUGGACUGAGGAGCCAGUGGCUCUGCUGCUGCUGCAGGGAUCUGGUGACAAUGCUGUGACCAUGAGAACAUGUAUGGCCAUGUCCUGCUGGUGCAGGUGGUGGCUGUCACCCUGCAGCUCCAGGCUCAGGAGCAGAUAUGUUUUACUGCGAGGAAGAAUUUGACCAUUUUCUAUUGUAUUCUGAGAAAUAAGCCUACUACACCCAAGCGUUCAAGCCUCUGUUCCAGGGAGCCUCUUUAGGCAUCACCUUCACCAGGUUCUUACUCCUCCUUCCCCUUCUCCUUUGGGCAGAGCAGAGCAGCAGCACCAGAGCUGCUCUCAGAGCUGGGCACUGCUGUGACAGCCUGGAGGGGACGAGAGCCCCAGGAACGUGGGACAGCAUCCUCCACAAACUACCUGGAUGAAGGGUGUGCCUUGGGAAGGAUCAUCUGCCACAGACGUCUUUCAUGGAAAAUCCUUUCCUUAGGGUUUUUUCCUCCUGAGAAGCUGGGAGGCCUCAGGAACAAAAUGCAAACAAUGGUUAUCUGCUGCUGUGGAAUGCAACAGGUGCA
Zonotrichia leucophrys gambelii is the source of this 888-nucleotide long non-coding RNA. RefSeq lists it as uncharacterized. The transcript has 4 exons. NCBI's taxonomy places the organism in Eukaryota, Metazoa, Chordata, Aves, Passeriformes, Passerellidae. The record is from RefSeq and is a predicted model, not a curated record.